UAACGCGUGAGGAAUCCGCCUCGAAGAGGGGGACAACAGUUGGAAACGACUGCUAAUACCGCAUAAGCCCACGGUGCCGCAUGGCACAGAGGGAAAAGGAGUAAUCCGCUUUGAGAUGGCCUCGCGUCCGAUUAGCUAGUUGGUGAGGUAACGGCCCACCAAGGCGACGAUCAGUAGCCGGACUGAGAGGUUGAACGGCCACAUUGGGACUGAGACACGGCCCAGACUCCUACGGGAGGCAGCAGUGGGGAAUAUUGCACAAUGGGGGAAACCCUGAUGCAGCGACGCCGCGUGGAGGAAGAAGGUCUUCGGAUUGUAAACUCCUGUUGUUGGGGAAGAUAAUGACGGUACCCAACAAGGAAGUGACGGCUAACUACGUGCCAGCAGCCGCGGUAAAACGUAGGUCACGAGCGUUGUCCGGAAUUACUGGGUGUAAAGGGAGCGCAGGCGGGAAGACAAGUUGGAAGUGAAAUCUAUGGGCUCAACCCAUAAACUGCUUUCAAAACUGUUUUUCUUGAGUAGUGCAGAGGUAGGCGGAAUUCCCGGUGUAGCGGUGGAAUGCGUAGAUAUCGGGAGGAACACCAGUGGCGAAGGCGGCCUACUGGGCACCAACUGACGCUGAGGCUCGAAAGUGUGGGUAGCAAACAGGAUUAGAUACCCUGGUAGUCCACACCGUAAACGAUGAUUACUAGGUGU
RNAcentral lists this ribosomal RNA (696 nucleotides) under uncultured bacterium. RNAcentral's name for it is "bacterial SSU rRNA". It matches the Rfam family "Bacterial small subunit ribosomal RNA", at positions 111 to 823 of the family's 1533-position model. The record is from RNAcentral.